GCGGCGGUGGUGUAAGGCGAACAUCGCUGCCCGGAAAGCAGAAGAUGCGGGUUCGAGUCCCGCCUGGCGCA
This is a non-coding RNA of Heligmosomoides polygyrus, 71 nucleotides long. Lineage: Eukaryota; Metazoa; Nematoda; Chromadorea; Rhabditida; Heligmosomidae. The record is from Rfam.